This 468-nucleotide ribosomal RNA is filed under the name uncultured bacterium. RNAcentral describes it as "partial 16S ribosomal RNA". It matches the Rfam family "Bacterial small subunit ribosomal RNA", at positions 28 to 507 of the family's 1533-position model. The record is from RNAcentral.
GACGAACGCUGGCGGCGUGCUUAACACAUGCAAGUCGAACGGAAAGGCCCUGCUUUUGUGGGGUGCUCGAUUGCCGAACGGGUGAGUAACACGUGAGUAACCUGCCCUUGACUUUCGGAUAACUUCAGGAAACUGGGGCUAAUAUCGGAUAGGAUCUCCUGCUGCAUGGUGGGGGUUGGAAAGUUUCGGCGGUGGGGGAUGGACUCGCGGCUUAUCAGCUUGUUGGUGGGGUAGUGGCUUACCAAGGCUUUGACGGGUAGCCGGCCUGAGAGGGUGACCGGCCACAUUGGGACUGAGAUACGGCCCAGACUGCUACGGGAGGCAGCAGUGGGGAGUAUUGCACAAUGGGCGGAAGCGUGAUGCAGAAACGCCGCGUGCGGGAUGACGGCCUUCGGGGUGUAAACCGCUUUCGCCUGUGACGAAGCGUGAGUGACGGUAAUGGGUAAAGAAGCACCGGCUAACUACGUG